GACGAAGGAUGCAAGCGUUAUCCGGAUUCAUUGGGUUUAAAGGGCGCGUAGGUGGCCUUAUAAGUCAGUGGUGAAAUCUCGAGGCUUAACCUCGAAAUUGCCAUUGAUACUGUAGGGCUUGAGUAUAGUUGCCGUUGGCGGAAUAUGACAUGUAGUGGUGAAAUACAUAGAGAUGUUAUAGAACACCGAUUGCGAAGGCAGCUAACGAAACUAUAACUGACACUGAGGCUCGAAAGUGCGGGGAUCAAACAGG
Molecule: ribosomal RNA, 253 nt
Filed under: uncultured bacterium
Lineage: Bacteria
Description: partial 16S ribosomal RNA
Rfam family: Bacterial small subunit ribosomal RNA
Source: RNAcentral